GCCCUAUUGGCGCAAUGGUAGCGCGUCACACUGUAAGCUGAGUCCUAAAACCCCCAUAAUCAUUUUGUCAUGCUAACAACCUUUGCCAGUCUAAUGUGAAAGUUAUGGGUUCGAUCCCCAUAUAGGGUA
Non-coding RNA from Talaromyces proteolyticus, 129 nucleotides. NCBI's taxonomy places the organism in Eukaryota, Fungi, Ascomycota, Eurotiomycetes, Eurotiales, Trichocomaceae. The record is from the annotation of a RefSeq genome assembly.